RNAcentral lists this long non-coding RNA (227 nucleotides) under Mustela putorius furo (domestic ferret). Its description in RNAcentral is "lncRNA (ENSMPUG00000031797.1)". The record is from RNAcentral. Lineage: Eukaryota; Metazoa; Chordata; Mammalia; Carnivora; Mustelidae.
GAUACCUCUGCCUUCACCCAAGUGAGGCUGCUUCACUGCCUCUGAACUUCAGGCUGGACCAUCUAACUUGUGUUGGCUAACAUGCACAAAGCUACCCUUCUACCCCACAUUUUCAUCAGACCAUAGAUUCCAGUGAGGAUCCUCACACUUCAAAAGCAUCAGUAAGAGAAGAAUGUGUUGUCCCUUAUGUGCUCAUGUUAGCUAAGUUUGCUAAGUUCCAGAAACUU